GUCCCCAUCGUCUAGCCGGUUCAGGACGGUAGCCUCUCACGCUGCAAAGGAGGGUUCAAACCCCUCUGGGGACGCCA
RNAcentral lists this transfer RNA (77 nucleotides) under Deltaproteobacteria bacterium. RNAcentral describes it as "tRNA-Glu". It matches the Rfam family "tRNA". Rfam says of the family: Transfer RNA (tRNA) molecules are approximately 80 nucleotides in length. Their secondary structure includes four short double-helical elements and three loops (D, anti-codon, and T loops). The record is from RNAcentral. Lineage: Bacteria; Pseudomonadati; Myxococcota; Myxococcia.